Molecule: ribosomal RNA, 117 nt
Organism: Pelosinus sp.
Lineage: Bacteria; Bacillati; Bacillota; Negativicutes; Selenomonadales; Sporomusaceae
Source: Rfam
UUUAGUGACGAUAGCUGUGAGGAUCCACCUGUUGCCUUAUCGAACACAGUAGUUAAGCUCACACACGCCGAAGGUACUUGGUUGGAAGCGACCUGGGAGAUUAGGUAGUUGCUAAUU